Non-coding RNA from Leptonychotes weddellii (Weddell seal), 2541 nucleotides. Lineage: Eukaryota; Metazoa; Chordata; Mammalia; Carnivora; Phocidae. The record is from RefSeq and is a predicted model, not a curated record.
GGACACCCGGGAACUCUCGGGAAGAGCCGACUAUGAAGGUCCCAGCGUGUGGGACGAUUCGCGGGCGUGCGCGGAUGUUGUCGCAGGCGUUUAGCGGUAUCAGCUCAGCGCCGAAGUUGCCGCGCCGAUGGGAACGUCCUGAUAGGAAAGCUCUGAGACGUGUGGGACUGAAAAAACGUUGAGGACCUUUGCACUGUGCCAGGAGCCUCCAAGGUUAUAGAGGAUGUGAUUUGUGUUUCUGGGGCUUGAGAACAGUGUAAAACAAUACGUAGGUCCAAGCCUAAGUCCAUAAGCUGUGCCUCGCUUUAUGACAUAGGUGGAUGCUAACCAAGAUCAUAUAGUUUUAAAGCUGGAACUGAAUUCAUUAUCUUCCCCAACUCCCACCCCGCUUCUUCGUUCAGUAAAUGCACCAGCAUCAGAGAAUGUGUCUGGACACUGAAAUCUGCCCAGAGCCUAUGGAGUAGAGGAGAAGAUCACUAAACCAGUGGCUUUCACGCUUCUGUUUCUGUGACCAGUGAGCGUGGCAAACCUUCCAGAGUAAUUGAAAUACAAAGAGAAGAGGUGUUGUCUGGAAGAAUAAGCCAUCUGACUGGAGAGAAGAGCAAAAGAGGAAAUCGUAGAAGGACCCCAUUGUCAUGAUAACAGUUGCUUCAGUUUUCCUCCAGGACUAAUGCACCGGGAUCAGACAGAUGAGAAUUCUCAGAAACAGUCAGGUGAUCACCCAUCUGAAAGAGGAGACAUGCUACUUACCCCAAUGGAGCAGUGGUUUGUGCAGUGGGCCUCACUCAUGUAACUGAAGAUUCCCCAGUAGAGAAAAAGGACCAGGAGAAAAGGCCAUAUCACAAAAGCCUCUCAGCCGCAUUUGGCCCGUUGGGACAACGCUCUGGGUUGACACAACUUCCUGCCUCAGCUUCCGUGGAUGUGCGGGAUCCAGGAGGCCAAGACCUCCUCCUGCCUCUCCAGAGAAGAGGCCUCAGUCAGCAGAGGGUCUCCACCAGAACAGCUCCUCUCCCGAAGCACGCUGGCGUCUCAAGGAGCCGAUAGCAGCUUCCGGACUCCGCUGAUUCAGCCCUGGCCCGCCUGCUCCUGGAGGAUGCUUGAUCAUGUCAGCUUCCUGGCUUUAGCCUACCAUGCUUGUGUCUAUUCCUGUACCCUCUCUUACGGAAUUUCUUCCCAUCCAAACUGAGCAGUCGGGGAAGGAAGUCAAGCAGUCUCUGCUGUAAAACCCUGAAGCAUCCCGAGCUCUCCCAGACUCAGUGACCCCUCCUGCUAACAGAAAGACGGAUGCCAAAGCGCUGGCCCAGGAUCUUUUCCUGAAACACAGCCCUGCUUUCUACUUCUGCAUCUCUGCUCAAUUCUGCACAGAGAACAAAGGGAUUUUUAUGGAGGCAGACACACCCCACAUUCCUAGUUUACAGAAUUUAUUUUUAACCAGAACUGCAUUUAGAAAUAUGUGAGCAAUCAUACUAGUAAUAAUAGACGGAAGAGGAGAAGUAUGUGUGGAUUCAUCUUCCUGGGUAUGUGUGGCUCCAGUUAAUAUUUAAAAUGGUCUCAAGUUCUCAGAGCACACACUGACUGUCUGAUGGGGGAGGCGGUGAGGAGAGAGACAGGUAGGAGUGGGAAAGCUGACCUAGGAUUAAAAAUUAAUUGUGCUCAAUUUUUAAAUGAAAUCGUUGUAGGCAGAUGGCUAUGAAUUUUAAUAUGAUUUUGUAUUUAACUCUUUUUUUUUGAGGAGAUUUAAACUCUAUUAUUCACCAACUAGGCAAUUUAUGAACUCACAUUUCGGCUUUAAUUCUACCUCAUCACAAGUAGAAUUACAGGGCUGGAAAAACUCCACCAAUCAUCCUCUGUUGGAAAGAACCACACCCAAAGCCAACCAGGGCAACAGGGAUCCCUAACACAUUUUUUAAGACUUCUAAUUUAAGGUAUUCCACGGCCAGUCUCCCUUGGGAGCCAAUUCUGGUGUUCCACUCUUCCAUUCAGUCAGCCCCUGCUGUGCUUCCUCUUUCUCUGCUUCAUGGGGCUGCGGAGACAGAGGAACCAUCCCCAUCCCAGGCUCCUUCGGGGGCCCGCAGGCCUGUUCCACGGACUGUGAAGUGCAUCAGGCCACAGCCCUGGGCCAGAUGGGGAGAACGGUAAAUAGGGAGGGCCCUUCCCACUUUGGGUAUAGGAACUAACCUGAUUUCAGAGGCUGGUCCCACAAGGGUGUUUGGUCUAUGUCAGGGCCCAAAGAGAAAGGAAAGACUGGGCAAGGAGUGGUACUACAGGGUCCUCAUUGGAUGGUGUUGGAGGACAUGCAGCCACAGUAAUGCAAGGAUUGUCUCCAGUAGGGAUGUGGUCCUGGAAGAGCUGAGCAUUCAUAAAGGGUAUCAGCAAAUGGAUGAGGGCACAGAGAGGAGUAUGCUUUCUUUUGGGGAAAGAAAUCAGCAAGAAGAAGGCCAGGUAUCAGGACCCUGCGUCAGUAAGCUGGAGGGCAGAAUAAUUAUCAAGUUCUAGAGGGGGGCGCACCUGGGUGGCUCAGUCGGUUAAGCGUCUGCCUUC